UUAAAAAAAAAAAUCAGAAUAAAUGCUUCGAUAAAAAACAUACACAAAAAGUGGUCUUUUACGAAUACCGAUAAUUAGAAUUCACGAUUGUUUAAUUAAAAAUAUGUGUUUGGUUUAGCUAUGUAUUAUAUAUUUCCUUUAAUAAUAUUCGUUUAUUUUGUACCGAAUUUCCCAAUUUUCCUACGUUUUUCCCGGUUUUAUCCUAGUUUUUCAAAUUUGAUGCGAAAACUCUUGAAAAAAAAAAUCGAAAAAUGACUUCUCUAAAGUAUCUCGCUAGUGAAAUUUCUUUUUGAAAAUAUUGGUAUCAUUAAAAGUUGGAGCAUAAGUGCUGGU
Molecule: non-coding RNA, 333 nt
Organism: Cinara cedri
Lineage: Eukaryota; Metazoa; Arthropoda; Insecta; Hemiptera; Aphididae
Source: the annotation of a GenBank genome assembly